AAAAGAAGGAAAAACACGGAAAAACAGUUGAAAAGACACCCUUGAAAUUAAAACAUGACAAAGUUUCUUCAGAAAAAGAAGCCAAUUUUUAUUACAAUAUGACUAAAGAAAAAAUUUCAAAAGCUGCAAAACGAGGAACUGCUGUUCGCUACUAUCAAUGUGUCUUUGUAAAUGGACUUAAUGGUGACACACCUCGAUAUUCUGCAACUCCAGAAAAACCUUCUGAUCCCAAAUUGAAGGCACGGAAACAAUAAUGUCCAGCAACCUGUGACAUUGCAACAGUUUUGCACUUUGCAACCCACUUCAGGGGGUCAUCUGGAAGUCCACGUGGCACCUGUGACAAUGGAAGUAUGAUCUGACUGAUCACAUGCACCUGUAAAAGUUGUUUCUUUGUUGUUAGAGCACCAGAGACAAUUUGAUGGCAUUAUGUGAUGAAGGGUAUCCAUACUACUUCCCUGAAUGAAAGCAUGGUGCUGAAAAAGUACUUGACAGUAAGUUCUGUGUGCAGGUAUAGGCGUAGGUAUAUAUGUAUGUACGCUCACAUGUUCUGUCAAGGUCUGUUUCUAGUUUCUGUUUUAUACCUAGCUAGUAUGGAAAACAUUUUCCAUGGUAUCAGUUUUGGAAAAUGUUGAAACGGAAUUAGUCAUUUGCAGUAUAGUUUGUGGUCCACAAUAGUGCUAAAUGAAAUCACGAGUCAGUCCAUGCUAAACCUUUAAGUAAUCAAACUCUAAUAAUUAAACAUAUGUUCUACAUAUGAUUUGUUCUUGUAAAAGCAAGCAAUAAAAUGUUUGCUAUUUGCAUAUUAGAGAGAUAUUUGAAUUGAGAAUAUCAACUAUCAAUUCCUCUUUACUUCCUAUUUGAAAUAAUGGACUGGUAUCUCAACAUCAAAAGGAAAAAUAUAAUGCUCCCAAUGAAAAUGUCUAAAGGUGUUAUUCUUGCUGCCUAUUAAAAUAGGUUUUGCUUUGUAAAUAAUACUGUAUCUUUGUAAGUAGUUGUUCCUAAUUUCUAUUAAAUGUAUUUUGUGUAUAUAAUUUUAUACUUGUUUGCAAUGUCAAACUGAACAAAUUAUAUAUUGUUUUUACACAAAUUUUGUAAAGACAACUCUUUACACAAAAAUUACAUCUGAAGUCUUUAACCUGAAUCAAUUUCAUAAGUUUCUAAAGAGAAACUAUUGUUGAAAUGCUGAUAUUUAUUUUGAAGAGAUGGUACAGGAUUUAGGUAACUGUGCCUAAAGAGGUUGAAGCAAUUCAUGACAAUGUUUGAUUUUCCCUCUCUGUCUUUCUCUUUUCAUGUUUUAUCUUUUCAUAUCUUGGUCAUAUUAAAAUAGGACUGGAAUUUAAUGCCACCUAGACAAUUUCCAUUACUGUAUUUUCAACUGAUCUAAUAUAGUUCUCCCAUUGUGAAAGUAAUUUAUUGGGAGAAAAGCAAAUACAGAUAAAUGGGAUACUUGAUUACUACCAGCUGUGGAAAUGGUAAGGUUCAUUCUGUAUUAGACUGAAGGCUAAAUAACAGACAAGUGAUUUAGGAUCAUUUUGAUUAAAAUAAAAGAUUGUACUACUCAAAGAAUGUACUUUGGAAGUACAGGCUUAUCCUGCUGCUUCCUCUGAUAUAACUUGUCAAUGGAUAAGCAAAAUGAAGAGGUGCGUCAACAGAGCAGAGAAUUAAAGACUAGUCUAUAGUCUUUAUGAAAUAUGUUUUUGAUAUGUCACAAGGUAUAUGCACUGAUUCAAAGAUGAUUGACCUUGUUAAUAUUGUAUCAUGAUUGAUGAAAGCACCCAAACUUUUUAUAAAUGAUGAUACCUCAUAAGUGACAUGAAAACGUUUAACUGUGCUUGAUUGUAUGGUAGAGUUGUAGAGUUGGCAUAGCAUUAAUGUCACCAACUCAACCAUAUCAAGAAUUAUGAUCCACAAUGAGUGCAGAAGUGUAGAAGUUUCAGAAUGUAACUUUGAGAUCUGCCUCUUUUAGAUGGUUCAUAUCUACCUCUGAUCUUCCCAAAACAGACACCUUAAGGUUCUGUUCACUUUUCAUUUAUUUUCCUAUUUGUAGCGUAGUUUUAGUGGCUUUCCAAAGACCUGCUGAUUUAAAUAGGUGAUUUUAGUCAAAUCAUGCACGGUUUCUUUAGAGUUUUAUUGAAAUAUUGCUAAUUGUAGGUAAACCUUAUUUAGAUUAUUAAAAGCUGUUUAACUGAGAUUUAUUGAAGCAUAUCCCAAUUCCCUAUAACUGGUUCAAGUGCAAUGGCAUAUUUGAGAAGACAUUUCCCUUUGGAUAUUCAGCUGACUCAGAAAAAUUCAAAAUAUAAAAUCUCACAUAAUAGUCAAUGAUUCCAGAAACAUUAAUCAUUUGCUUAAAACACAAGUUUCAUAUUGCAUCCAUCCAUACACCAGAUUAAUCAAAAAUUCUGCCAUUAUUUGAAUUACAUGUUUUUAUCCAUGUUUUAACUGUUGAUUUGCAAAACAAAAUGGCCAAAGGGUAUCAUGGUAGGUACAGCUCAGUUUGAUUAUUUGACAGGGCAAUGAUUCAUGAUAUUGUUAUUUAACUUGGUAUUUUAAUUAAUACCAAGAAUCAAACAGUAAUUACUGUGGUCUUUCUAUGUUGCAUAGGUUCAUUGUAUACUUUGCCACAAAUUCACUUAAAAUCCUAAGCUAAAAUUCUUUUCAUGUUCUAGUCCCUGAUAAUGAAAAGAUUUCUCAUGACUGAGAAAGUUUGUUUACUUGGCAUCCAAAUAAAAAUUUGAUGUUAAUAGAUGAAGUCUUCAUCACAAAAGCAGAGCCACCAUUGUGCUGUUGUGCAUGUAUUUCUUCUAUCAGCAGAUAGGGAUGAGAAAUACAACAUUUCAUGAUAUAGCAGACAAAAUAACCCUAUAGCAACACAGUAUAAAGAACAGAUAGUAGGGACACUUCCUAUAUCUUAUUGAUAAGGACAAUGGAAAAGAGAGAAGGACUUAUAUUUUUUGUCUCUGUUUUUGUUGAUUCUGUUUUUCACUCCCUUAAUUUAUUUGCCUUUCUUAUUGGGAAUGGAAAUUAUACCAGCUCCUGGGCUAGCAUAUUUCUUUUCCAUUUUGUGGAUAUAUUCAGAGAACUGGGAGUUUGAACUGAUAGUACUAGAUGUGGCCAUGACAUCUCUUUUUUUUAUAUCAUGAAUAGAGUAAGGGGGGGAAGCACACUGGCUAAAUGAUUCUUGUAUUCCUUAGUUAAUUGUCCUUAGAUAACAAGGACAAUAUCUCUAAGAGCAGUUUGUCAAAAUAAUAUACCGAGUUAUAAGCACUGAAAAUAAGGCUAUCUCAAAGCAAAGAAAGAAGUAAUGCUUUGUAUAAAAUUGUUUUUUUAAAAGACAUCCAGAUAGAUUCAUGUGUAUGCAAAGUCAGUAGAGGUGAAUUAUGAAAGUAAGAUCAAAAAGGCCUGAUUAGAAAUAUCACAGGCAGGGUCUUGUUUUAAACAAGAAGGGAAUGAAAUAUUUUAAUGGUGCAAAAGGAAAAGGUAAACACAAGAAUGGCAAAAUAAAGAGAUAUGCCACCAUUGUGAAUGAAUUAGCAGAAGGAAUGCUGAGGAAAUUUUUAAAAAGGUGUUUCAGAGCAAUGAGUGCAACACAGAUGGGAAGAAGAAACAUAGUAAACAAAGAAAAAUGUUUAACCUUCCAUUUUGAGAGGUAAAGCCAAGAAAACAGAAAAGCUAACACAAAUUGUUUUCUACAAACUGGAGAAAGUACUUUAGAGACGUCUUAGCUGUAAAAUAGUCAGUGGUGUUUUACAAUGACCAAAAAUAGAUUUAUAUUUAAGAACACAGUACAGCAUUGGUUGUAUUUAGAGAAUAAGAUGAUGGGUUUCUUCCAAUGAGGAAAAGUUACCUGCACAUAAAUAGAGCACCGGUCAGACUUAACACUUUUCCCAGUUUUCUUACAAUUGUGAGAUACAUACUGUAUUUGGCCAAUAAGACUGAGAGACCUGCACAUUUUCUACACAUUUCUGAUCAAUGUUCUCCCCUAUUCUCAGUCCGCAGUCAUGAGUUUCAAACUCUCAUUCCUUAACCACACCAAGGAAGGUUAAGGGUAUGACUCAGUUGUCCAUAGAAGAACCCAUCUCUCUCAUUCCCUCUAAUCUUUGGUAGUGUCUCGAUAUAGGCCCAUCUAUAAAUGUCAAGAAAGCAGAGAAUAAUCUUUGUUAUAAUCUAUAGCAGAGUAAACAAUAUUUUGCUCACGGACUCUUCCUUUGCACCUUCUCGAUUCUAGGCUGCAGAUGGCUUUUUUUUUUAAAUAGGACCUUUAAUUUAAAAAAGGAUAAUGAAGAAACUAUUGACAUGUUACAAGCACCAAGUAUCAAUAUAUGGAUCCAAUAGAUAGUCUUAGAAAAUAAAAAAUGCUAGGUAGCUUCAGCCUAACACCCUAUUUGGAAAUACACUCACCUUUCCAGAAAAAAAUAAAGAGAAUGAAGGGGGAGGGGGAGAGGGGAGGGGGAGAGGCAAACUAGAGAUGAUCACAAAUGAGAUGCAUUUUAUGACUAGCUGUACUGACUAUGACAAGCAUUUGUUUAAUAGAGAAGUCUGUAUAGCAGCCAUUUGUAACAAUGUUCAGCAUGCCAAAAUGAUAGCCUACUUCUGUGCCACUCCAUGAGUGUAGGUAGUCUGGAUUUAUAGCUUUAUACAAAAAUAUGCAUCACACCAUACUGACAACUUUAUAAAAUGAAAAGGAGAAGAGCAAAAAGUUGUGUAGACUGUGGAUGUCAUAACUGGUUGUGAAUGUCUCCACAAUUGAUAGAACUGCACAAAAGGGGUUUUAUGAUUUCCUGAAGGAAGAGCACUGAUAUGAAAAAGAUAUUGUUUAGAAUGUAAUUUAGGCUUCAGUCCUAUAGACUUUUAACCUAUAGGGUUAUUGAAAUUAAGAAAUAGUUGGAACUUUAUCCAGUGAUGUCUUGCCCUAACUUAUCAGGAAAUGGUUAUACAAUAGGAAGUUAUUUAGAUUAUCAAGACAUAUUCUUUUAUUUCACAAUUAUGUUUAAUGACUGCUAUAUGUUAAAAUGUUGGCACUUAUUCAAGCAACAAAAAAGAAUGCCAAGGACAAGAAUAUUUUACUUUUUAUUUAUAUCUUUAUGUCUUCAUUUGCAUUUUGACUUUGUACAUACUUUAUCAGCACUACAAAUGUUUUCCUUUCAAAAAUUAUUUCAUUUUCCAUCUCCAAGUGACAUCCUAUAUAGAAAAUGUUUUAUUAUGAAGACACUGCAUUUACUACAGAUUGUAAUUAUUUAUGUGAUACUUCUAAACAUGGAAAGAAUAAUUGUUGAAUAGCUGGAUUGAUAUGCAAAUUUGAAGCCCUAUAGCAAAAUAUUUCCAAAGAGAAUUUGAAAGAAAUAUGUUAUUUGUUUUCUGUCAAAUUACUUACUGUUGCAAACCUCACUGAUAGUCUGUAAGUGAGAAAAUAUCAAGUCUUUUCAAUAAAAGGGAAAUGUUUUCAACCU
Molecule: long non-coding RNA, 5447 nt
Organism: Protobothrops mucrosquamatus (brown spotted pit viper)
Lineage: Eukaryota; Metazoa; Chordata; Lepidosauria; Squamata; Viperidae
Exons: 5
Source: RefSeq, a predicted model, not a curated record